Molecule: ribosomal RNA, 594 nt
Filed under: uncultured bacterium
Lineage: Bacteria
Description: bacterial SSU rRNA
Rfam family: Bacterial small subunit ribosomal RNA
Source: RNAcentral
CUUGCUUCUCUUGAGAGCGGCGGACGGGUGAGUAAUGCCUAGGAAUCUGCCUGGUAGUGGGGGAUAACGUCCGGAAACGGACGCUAAUACCGCAUACGUCCUACGGGAGAAAGCAGGGGACCUUCGGGCCUUGCGCUAUCAGAUGAGCCUAGGUCGGAUUAGCUAGUUGGUGGGGUAAUGGCUCACCAAGGCGACGAUCCGUAACUGGUCUGAGAGGAUGAUCAGUCACACUGGAACUGAGACACGGUCCAGACUCCUACGGGAGGCAGCAGUGGGGAAUAUUGGACAAUGGGCGAAAGCCUGAUCCAGCCAUGCCGCGUGUGUGAAGAAGGUCUUCGGAUUGUAAAGCACUUUAAGUUGGGAGGAAGGGCAGUAAAUUAAUACUUUGCUGUUUUGACGUUACCGACAGAAUAAGCACCGGCUAACUCUGUGCCAGCAGCCGCGGUAAUACAGAGGGUGCAAGCGUUAAUCGGAAUUACUGGGCGUAAAGCGCGCGUAGGUGGUUCGUUAAGUUGGAUGUGAAAUCCCCGGGCUCAACCUGGGAACUGCAUUCAAAACUGACGAGCUAGAGUAUGGUAGAGGGUGGUGGGAAUU